This 5816-nucleotide long non-coding RNA is filed under the name Nicotiana benthamiana. RNAcentral describes it as "long non-coding RNA (NBEN_LNC039225)". Lineage: Eukaryota; Viridiplantae; Streptophyta; Magnoliopsida; Solanales; Solanaceae. The record is from RNAcentral.
ACCUAAUUCCUUUCCUUGGAGACUUUGAGAACCUUCUCCAUUGUUGCCAUUUUCAUCUCUAACACCCUUUCUCAAGUUGGAGAGGGAUGAAAGUACUCCCAACUUGCCCAAUAAUCGGUGAUGAAAAGGGCCAGUAAGAGGCUUUGUGAAAAAAUCAGCGAGCUAAGAAGAGGAGCGAACAAAUGAUAGUAAAAUCAAACUUGCCAUGAACUGCUGAUGAACGAAACGAAAACCAAGCUUUGCAUGCUUUGUUCUUUCAUGAAAGACAGAGUCUUUUAGCUAUGUGAAUCGCCGCUUGGCUGUCAGAGUGAAGAGGGACCGGGAGGGAUAUUGGAAUAGAUAAAUCAUCAAAGAGUCUGACUAACCAGGUAAGCUCUGCGACUACACGCCGCAUGGAUCGAUACUCAGCUUCUGCAGAGCUUAGAGAAAUUGUGGUCUACUUCUUCAAUUUCCAAGAAAUAGGAGAAAAUCCCAGCGAAAUGUAGAAACCACUGACAGAUUUGUGCGAUUCUGAGCAUGUGCUCCAAUCGGAGUCACAGAAAGCCAGCAACUGAUACGAAGGGGAGGAAGUCAUGAAUAAACCAAGACCAAGAUCCUUUGAUGAAUAUCGAAGGACACGAAGGGCUGCUUGCAUGUGAGGAACUCUUUGAACCUGCAUAUAUUGGCUUAGAUGUUGUACAGUGAAGGAAAGAUCCGGCCUUGUAUGAGUUAAAUAGUUCAGCUUUCCCAACAAAUGGCGAUACAAGGUCGGGUCUUAGAUAGGAGCACCAGUUUUGGCCAACAAUUUGAUAAUGGGAUCAAGUGGACAAGAAACGGAUGGCUUGUGAGUACAAUAAAAUUCCAGCAACAAAUCAACACUGAAUUUCCGCUGAGUAAGAAUUAGUCCCUUAGAUUCACGCAGUACCUCCAUUCCAAGAAAAUAAUGUAAGUUCCCUAAAUCCUUUAUUUUGAAUUCCUGAUGUAGAAAAACUUUCAAAGCAUGUAGCUCCUCUAAAUUAUUUCCUGUCAAGAGUAUAUCAUCGACAUAGACUGCCACUAUAGAGAAAGAGGAGUCAGACCUUUUAAAGAAUAGGAAAUAAUCAUUGAGAUAAUGGGAGAAACCUUUAAAAUUAAGAGUUGCUGUUAAUUUAGCAUACCACUGCCGGGAUGCUUGACGAAGCCCAUAUAGUGACUUAUUUUACUUGCAAACGUGUGUAGGAGGAGGAGGAGAGAAACCAAUUGGAAACUUCAUGUACACCUCUUCAUUCAAAUCCCCAUGCAGAAAUGUAUUAUUCACAUCUAACUAAAAAAUUCCCAACCUUUCUUAACUGCUGUAUCUAGAAUGCAUUUGAUGGUGGUCAUUUUUACCACUGGGGAAAAUGUUUCAUUGAAGUCUAUCCCUUCUUUUUGAAUAUCCCCUCUAACUACACGUCUAGCUUUGAGACUUUCCACACUUCCAUCAGAGUUAUGCUUUACUUUAUACACCCACUUGCACGGUAAUGCCUUUCUACCAGGAGGUAAUUCCAUGACCUCCAAGGUGUGAUUGAGCUCAAGUGCCUCUAUCUCUCUUUCUAUUGCUUCCUGCCAUCCUGGGUGAUGGGCUGCUUGGGUAUAACUGGUUGGUUCUUGGAUAGCGGAUAGGGAAUUUAGGAGAUUUUGUUUGGAUGUAGAUAGGUUAUUGAAUGGAAAACUAGAAGGUGUUACAGGUGACAGGAAACAAGAACCACUUACAUCAGUCAAUUGAAUAUCAUUGCAAAUGUAGUCCUUGAGGUAAGGGGGAGGGUUGUGUGGCCUUGAGAAUUUUCUAAUAAGAUUGUCCAACAUGGGUUCAGUAGCUGAAGGUGAAGCAGUAUGAAUGAGAGAGUGAGAGACAAAAGAAGAAGAUGGUGUAGGACUGGAAGGUGGAAAAUCAGGAAAGUCUUGCACAGGAUGAUCUUCAUUAGGCAGUUCUGAAUGUUCAGUAGUAGGUUGUGGUAAAUCAAGGGAGAAGGUAUGAGAACUGGACAUUAGUGAAGUAGGUAAAAACGAGUCAGUUGACCCCUUGGAUGUGAUGAGGAAAAAGGGAAGAAUUCUUCAGGAAAAAUAACAUUCCUAGAAACAAAAGGCUUUAGAGUGCUAAGAUUGAGAACCGUGUACCCAUUCUUUCCAUGUGGAUAACCUAAGAAACACAAGGCAUAGCCCUUAGUUGGAAUUUUGUUUUGUGACUUGAGAGAGUAGAAACAAAACACAGACACCCAAAACACCUCAAAUUAAAGUAACUAGGUUUGGAUUUAAAAAGAUCCUCAUAGGGUUUUUUUGUAAGAAAGAACUUUGGAAGGAAAACUAUUGUCAAGUAUGUAGCAGUUAGAACGCAAUCCCCGCAAUAAGCAAUAGGCAAUUUUGAUUGGAAGAGAAGGGCUCGAGAUGUCUCUAAAGGUGUUUAUGUUUCCUCUCCACAACCCCAUUUUGUUGUGGAGAAGCUACACAAGUAGUCUGAUGCAUAAUUCCAUGUGAAGAAAACUAAUUAGACUGCAGACUCCCACUCCCUAAUUCAAAAGCAUUGUCUGACCUUAUUGUCUUGACCUGGGUAUUGAAUUGUCUUUCCACCAUUGCUAAAAAUGACUUAAGAAUUAGGAAUGCAUUUGAUUUUGUACUUAGUAGAUAAGUCCAUGUUCCUCUACUGUAGUCAUCAAGAAUUGUAAAAAAAUAUUUGUAACCAUCAUAGUUUGGCUGCUAUAGGGAUCCCAUGGGUCUAUGUGAAUUAAUGCAAAAAAUUUCUUUGUGGAAAUAGAACUAAUGGGAAAAGGGAGUUUGGACUAUCUAGCCAUAGGAUAAACAACACAAGGCACAGAAAACUUUGAACAAGGUGAAAUAGGAAUAAUAGAUAUAUUUCUCAUGGAACAAAUUGUUUGUCAUUGAAACUCUUUCUAGAUACAAAACUACUAUUGGAAAGUAAAAAACUCUUGGGAAUGGCAGUUGUAGGCCUUGAUUGAAGAAUGUAGAGACCACUUCUCUCCUUGCCAAUCUCCAGAGGGCUCUUCAAAGAAUGGCCUGCAAAAAACAAGAAGUAGAAGUAAAAAAGAGUGGAUUACUAAGCUGCUUACAUAAUUUGUGCACAGAUAGAAGAUUGUACUUAACAGAAGGUAUAUGCAACACAUUGUGUACUACCAGAUUAGAGAAAAGAGCUACUGAUCCAUAAUGAGUUACUAAAACUUUCUGAGAAUUAGGAAGAUUGAUUAUUCUACGCUUGAAUAAAGGCUUGAGAUUAGGAAAAAAAUUCUUAUUAUAAGACAUAUGUUCUGAAGCACCACUAUCUAGUAUCCAUGAAUGACUGUUGAAUUGAAAGAAACAUGCAGGUGACUUAAAGAAUUUGGGUGUACCAGCACAGUUUGCACUUGCAGUACCAUCAGAAGUACUUCCUCUUUGCUGUCCAUCUUCAACUGUUGAAAAAAGCUGAAGUAGCUGAGUUACAUUCUCCUGGUAAGUGAUUUUCCUUCAGUGAUUCCAAAUACCUAUUCUCCUUCUUCAUUUGAUAUUAGAGCAUUGUUUGCCUGGGCUGGUCCCUAAAAUUUCCUUGGCUUUGUGAAUUUGAAAUCUGCAGGAAAACCAUGGAUCCUAUAGCACUUAUCAAUGAUAUGUCCUGGCUUCUUGCAGUAAGCACAAAUCCCUGAACUCUUCUUUGCAUCAUAGGACCCCUUCUGUCCUUUGGAAUCACCAUAUUUCUUCACAUCUGCUUGGUUUAUUACCAUGAAGGAACUAGACUCCCCUGGGUAGGCAGGUACAAUAUGAAUUUCUCUUUGUUUUUCAUCUUGUAUUACCAAAGAGUAUGCCUUACCAAUGGAAUAUAAAGGAGAUGACAACAAUAUGUUUCUCCUAACUCCUAUGAAGGUUUCAUUCAUACCUAUAAGGAAUUUCAAAAGUCUCUCAUCUUGAUGAGCAUUGAUGCUCUUUGCCUUAGCCCCACAAUCACACUCACACACACAAGUACAAAAGGUAUUGAGUGCAUCUAGCUCAUCCCAUAAUCCUUUCAUCUUAGUAAAAUAGGUUGAAACACUCGAGUUACCUUGCACCACAACACUUAGUUCUUUUUGUAGCUGAAAUAACUUGGCUCCACUUGCCUGACCAAACCAAUCUUCCAGAUCAUGCCAUAGAUCUUUUGCACUCUCUGAGUACAAGACACUCUCAGCAAUUUCUUUGGAAAGUGAGAGGAGAAGCCAAGAAAGGACCAUGUCGUUGCAUCUUGCCCAAGCUCUUUGAAGACCAGAAUUUGCGUCUGGAAUAUCUAGGGUUCCAUCAAUGAAUCCUAGGUUGUUCUUAGCGGAUAAAGCUAUGACUAAGGCACUCCUCCACCCACCAUAUCCUCUGCCAUCAAAUACUGAGGAGACCGGUUCGUUCUUGGGUAGUCUGAAGGAUGGAGGUAAUAGGGACGAGUUGAAUCAACUAAACCAAUACCACUAGAACCAGCAGAUACAUUAGUUGUUGGAAUAGGGGGAGAGGAUCUGUAAAAGAAGAAGAUGAAUUUGAAUAAUAAAGAAAUGUGGCUUAAAGCAGAUCAACACUGCUCUGAUACCAUGAAGGAAUAGGAAUAAAAUAGAUUGAGAAAAUUAUCUUUUCUGCAUUGAAUGAAUCAAUAGUGUUGUACAGAACAUUGUUUAUAUACAACAGGGAUGGAAUCUAAAAUAACUACUUAUGCUACGUGUCUCUAAUUUAUUAGCUAAGCUAUAACAAACUAAAGUGUGAUGACCCGGCCGGUCGUCUUUUUAUGCCCCGUUUCCCUAUUAACUGCUUCCUCUAAGUUCAUUUAUACUAUUUUGGUUUGUCGAGAUGUUCGGUAAUAGAAUUCGGAGUGUUUUGGGACACUUAGUCCCUAAGUGAGAGCUUAAGUGUUAAAAAUGGUCCAUAAUUAUAACGGUGUGAAGACGACCUCGAAAUGGAAAUUCAAUGGUUCCGUUAUCUCUGUUAGGUGAUUUCGGGGUUGGGAGCAUGUUUGGAAUGUAUUUUGGAUGUCCGUAGCUCAUUUAGGCUAGAAAUGCCGAAAGUUAAAAUUUUGAUGUUUCCAGUCCGAUAGUGAAUUUUUGAUUUGAGGGUUUGAACGGGAUUCUGGAAGUUUCUGUAGCACCGUCAUGUCAAUCGAACGUGUAUUGGUUAGGUUUUGAAUCGAAAGCGAGUUUUGUUAAGUUUUGAAGUUUUUAAGUUCGAAUUAUUGAUUAAUUCGAGUUUCUGGCGUUGUUGUAGGUAGCUUAAGGAUUGGGAAAAGUUUGAAUGAUGUUAUGGGAUAUGUCUGUAGGUUUGGUUGAGGUCCCGGGGGCCUCGGGUGUGUUUCGGAUGCUCAACGGAGCAUUUUUGGAGUAGAAAACAUUGCAGAAUUCUUCAGCUGUUGCAUGUCUUUUUUUCCUUCGCGAUCGCGUCCCAUUUCACGCGGCCGCAUAGGCCAAUCUGGUAGGGUCCGAAAUUCCUUAAUCGCGAUCGCAGGGAUUGGUUUGCAAUCGCGUAACUCUACCUCUCCCCUAUUCGCGUUCGCGUGCCUUCUUACGCGAUUGCGUAAGGCCAUCUCUUUCCCGUCCGCGAUCGCAUGCUCCUUCUCAUGAUCGCAUAGGGCUCUUUCCUGGAGCCUUUAUUUUGAUCUUCGCGAUCGCGUCCCUAUCUUCGCGAUUGCGAUUCACUAAAUACCUGGGUAAAUAUUAAUAUUUCAAUAACUAAGCCUUCUUCCAUUUUUACAAAAACUCAAGCUAGAGAGCUCGGUCUUGGGAGAUUUUUUGAGGGAUUUUCAGAGGCAAAUAUUGGGUAAUGAUUCCUUACUCCUCUAUGACUAAAACCCACUAAUCUAAUCGUAAUUUCAACCUUUAAUUUCGGAUUUU